UACCGGGCGCGUCUCAGGGGUACCAAGGCGGGCACAAAGGGCUAAGAAAGCAAAUUUUGACGGAGAUAUGUCUCCUGCUUUCCCUGCCUUCAAUAAUUCACUACCAAUUUUGUCCCAAAAAGCCAAAUCACUGAGAUUUUCAGUGGACACGUCAGGGAAGUGAAGGAAAAGCCA
Agelaius phoeniceus (red-winged blackbird) is the source of this 174-nucleotide long non-coding RNA. RefSeq lists it as uncharacterized. Lineage: Eukaryota; Metazoa; Chordata; Aves; Passeriformes; Icteridae. The record is from RefSeq and is a predicted model, not a curated record.